Molecule: ribosomal RNA, 834 nt
Filed under: uncultured bacterium
Lineage: Bacteria
Description: bacterial SSU rRNA
Rfam family: Bacterial small subunit ribosomal RNA
Source: RNAcentral
ACCCGCUUCCCUUGGUAAUGGGGGUUAACGUUCGGAACGGAACGCUAAUACCGCAUACGUCCUACGGGAGAAAGCAGGGGAUCUUCGGACCUUGCGCUAUCAGAUGAGCCUAGGUCGGAUUAGCUAGUUGGUGAGGUAAUGGCUCACCAAGGCUACGAUCCGUAACUGGUCUGAGAGGAUGAUCAGUCACACUGGAACUGAGACACGGUCCAGACUCCUACGGGAGGCAGCAGUGGGGAAUAUUGGACAAUGGGCGAAAGCCUGAUCCAGCCAUGCCGCGUGUGUGAAGAAGGUCUUCGGAUUGUAAAGCACUUUAAGUUGGGAGGAAGGGCAUUAACCUAAUACGUUAGUGUUUUGACGUUACCGACAGAAUAAGCACCGGCUAACUCUGUGCCAGCAGCCGCGGUAAUACAGAGGGUGCAAGCGUUAAUCGGAAUUACUGGGCGUAAAGCGCGCGUAGGUGGUUUGUUAAGUUGAAUGUGAAAUCCCCGGGCUCAACCUGGGAACUGCAUCCAAAACUGGCAAGCUAGAGUAUGGUAGAGGGUAGUGGAAUUUCCUGUGUAGCGGUGAAAUGCGUAGAUAUAGGAAGGAACACCAGUGGCGAAGGCGACUACCUGGACUGAUACUGACACUGAGGUGCGAAAGCGUGGGGAGCAAACAGGAUUAGAUACCCUGGGUAGUCCACGCCGUAAACGAUGUUCAACUAGCCGUUGGGAGUCUUGGACCUUCUUAGUGGCGCAGCUAACGCAUUUAAGUUUGACCGCUCUGGGGGAGUACGUGCCGCUAGGUUAAAACUCAUAUUGAAUUUGACUGGGGGCCCCGCACAGCUCGUUG